This 1536-nucleotide ribosomal RNA is filed under the name Pseudomonas aeruginosa. RNAcentral describes it as "bacterial SSU rRNA". It matches the Rfam family "Bacterial small subunit ribosomal RNA". Lineage: Bacteria; Pseudomonadati; Pseudomonadota; Gammaproteobacteria; Pseudomonadales; Pseudomonadaceae. The record is from RNAcentral.
GAGGCAUUGCGAGCUACCAUGCAGUCGAGCGGAUGAGGGAGCUUGCUCCUGGAUUCAGCGGCGGACGGGUGAGUAAUGCCUAGGAAUCUGCCUGGUAGUGGGGGAUAACGUCCGGAAACGGGCGCUAAUACCGCAUACGUCCUGAGGGAGAAAGUGGGGGAUCUUCGGACCUCACGCUAUCAGAUGAGCCUAGGUCGGAUUAGCUAGUUGGUGGGGUAAAGGCCUACCAAGGCGACGAUCCGUAACUGGUCUGAGAGGAUGAUCAGUCACACUGGAACUGAGACACGGUCCAGACUCCUACGGGAGGCAGCAGUGGGGAAUAUUGGACAAUGGGCGAAAGCCUGAUCCAGCCAUGCCGCGUGUGUGAAGAAGGUCUUCGGAUUGUAAAGCACUUUAAGUUGGGAGGAAGGGCAGUAAGUUAAUACCUUGCUGUUUUGACGUUACCAACAGAAUAAGCACCGGCUAACUUCGUGCCAGCAGCCGCGGUAAUACGAAGGGUGCAAGCGUUAAUCGGAAUUACUGGGCGUAAAGCGCGCGUAGGUGGUUCAGCAAGUUGGAUGUGAAAUCCCCGGGCUCAACCUGGGAACUGCAUCCAAAACUACUGAGCUAGAGUACGGUAGAGGGUGGUGGAAUUUCCUGUGUAGCGGUGAAAUGCGUAGAUAUAGGAAGGAACACCAGUGGCGAAGGCGACCACCUGGACUGAUACUGACACUGAGGUGCGAAAGCGUGGGGAGCAAACAGGAUUAGAUACCCUGGUAGUCCACGCCGUAAACGAUGUCGACUAGCCGUUGGGAUCCUUGAGAUCUUAGUGGCCGCAGCUAACGCGAUAAGUCGACCGCCUGGGGAGUACGGCCGCAAGGUUAAAACUCAAUGAAAUUGACGGGGGCCCGCACAAGCGGUGGAGCAUGUGUUUAAUUCGAAGCAACGCGAAGAACCUUACCUGGCCUUGACCAUGCUGAGAACUUUUCCAGAGAUGGAAUUGUGCCUUCGGGAACUCCAAACCAGGUGCUGCAUGCUGUUCGUCAGCUCGUGCUCGUGAAAUGUUGGGUUAAUUCCCGUUAACGAGCGCACCCUUGUCCUAGUUACAGCACCUUCGGUGGACACUCCUAAGGAAACUGCCGGUGACAAACCCGAAGAAGGUGGGAAUGACGUCAGUAUCCAUGCCUUAACGGCCAGGCCUACCCUGCUUCAUCCUGGUCACAAGUUGCCAGCGCGCAGGUGGGUGACUCUAAGGGCAGACCUGUACACGUGCUACAAUGGUCGGUACAAAGGGUUGCCAAGCCGCGAGGUGGAGCUAAUCCCAUAAAACCGAUCGUAGUCCGGAUCGCAGUCUGCAACUCGACUGCGUGAAGUCGGAAUCGCUAGUAAUCGUGAAUCAGAAUGUCACGGUGAAUACGUUCCCGGGCCUUGUACACACCGCCCGUCACACCAUGGGAGUGGGUUGCUCCAGAAGUAGCUAGUCUAACCGCAAGGGGGACGGUUACCACGGAGUGAUUCAUGACUGGGGUGAAGUCGAAGCAAAGUGGCCAUGGUCCU